This is a long non-coding RNA of Theobroma umbraticum, 1271 nucleotides long. RefSeq lists it as uncharacterized. NCBI's taxonomy places the organism in Eukaryota, Viridiplantae, Streptophyta, Magnoliopsida, Malvales, Malvaceae. The record is from RefSeq and is a predicted model, not a curated record.
UCCUAUGUGUUUUAUAGCAAAACCAAAUUGAAGUUUCUUCAAAAGCCCAUUCGAACCAAAGAUAUGCAUAGGAAUACAGCUUAAAUUUUAUUAAUUUUUUAAAAUUAUUAUUAUAUAUAUUUUAUUAAUUAUUUUAUUUUUUUUAAUAUAAAAGGGCAUCAAUCAGUGUUAGAGUGUGCAGCAAUCGGUUGCAACUGAGCAACCGACCACAUCGUCAGUUGUAAGAAUCGAUAGGUCAGCUCAUUGACUGCAACAAUUAACCUCAUCUGUCGAUUGGUUCAAUGUCGAUUGGUUCAAUUGUCGAUCGAGAAACCGACCCUCACCCUUUUUAUUUUUUAUUUUGAGGGGUUAAAGAUUAUCUUAACCCCUUAAAUAACUUAAGCCGGCCAACCACCUUCCCUCGAUAAAAUUCCCCUCAUCUACAAUCUCCCCCUCUCUUAAACCCUAACUCACGUAAUUAGCUCACCCAUUCAUAGCGCAUCCAUUUGCUGCCAUCAGUGUCAUUUCAGACUACUGUCAGCCACCCAUUCAUGCCUUUCUUGGCAGCAACUAGCAAGUGAGACACCGACACCAACAUCAACAUUAUCAAUAUCUACAUCUCAUGUUACUACUUGUUCUACUGAAGCCAACAAAAUAUUUGAAGUUUUAAGCAAAGUGCAAAAGCAAAGGGAACCACCUCAAUUUACAUCAGUUGUGUUGGAUCACUUCACCAAAUUUGUUGAUGAGAAAGGUUUUUGCAUCAUUUGAGUUAUGUGAUAAUAGCAACAUACCUGAGCUUUUGAGGUUUGGAGAUGAGGUGCCUGAUGACUGAGAUUGUGCAAAUCUUAAAAAGAUUUCUCAUUUCUUGAGAGAAUUUUAUGAUUUGAUCUUGAGUGUUUCAAGUUCAUCUUACAUAACUAUUAAUUCUCUUCUAUAUUCCAUUUCUAUGUGUGUACCACUUUGAUUGAUUAGCAAAAUGGUGAUGAUGUUGAUUUACGAUAUAAAAGAAAAAUUUGACAAGUAUUAGGGAAUAUGGACAAAAUGAAUUUGGAGUUGUUCAUUACUCCUGUAGUUGAUCCGAGGAAAAAGCUUGCUUAUGUUAAAUUCACUUUGCUAGAAAUGUAUCUUCUUACACAAGCUUCAAUGAUAUUUUCUUUGGUGAUACAAACAAUGGAUAAGCUGUUCAAUUGUUAUAAAAAUAUGCUACAACCUCAAUCUCAUGUUGGUGAAAGUGGUCAAGAGUGUCCAACGUCCAUGGGACAAGGCACUAGUUGUGGUUGUAGUGAUAGUGU